UGGGGAAUUGUUCGCAAUGGGCGCAAGCCUGAUCCAGCCAUGCCGCGUGAGUGACGAAGGCCUUAGGGUUGUAAAACUCUUUCGUCGGGGACGAUAAUGACGGUACCCGAAGAAGAAGCUCCGGCUAACUUCGUGCCAGCAGCCGCGGUAAUACGAAGGGAGCUAGCGUUGUUCGGAAUCACUGGGCGUAAAGCGCACGUAGGCGGAUAGUUAAGUCAGGGGUGAAAUCCUGGGGCUCAACCCCAGAACUGCCUUUGAUACUGGCUGUCUCGAGGUCGAGAGAGGUUGGUGGAAUUCCUAGUGUAGAGGUGAAAUUCGUAGAUAUUAGGAAGAACACCAGUGGCGAAGGCGGCCAACUGGCUCGAUACUGACGCUGAGGUGCGAAAGCGUGGGGAGCAAACAGGAUUAGAUACCCCCGUAGUCCCUGAGCGGGCUGGCAAGGCGCAU
RNAcentral lists this ribosomal RNA (447 nucleotides) under uncultured bacterium. Its description in RNAcentral is "bacterial SSU rRNA". It matches the Rfam family "Bacterial small subunit ribosomal RNA", at positions 355 to 825 of the family's 1533-position model. The record is from RNAcentral.